UACGGAGGGUGCGAGCGUUGUUCGGAAUCACUGGGCGUAAAGGGCGUGUAGGCGGUCCGCUAAGUCUGAUGUGAAAGCCCGGGGCUCACCCCCGGAAGGGCAUUGGAAACUGACGGACUCGAGUCCCGAAGAGGAGAGUGGAAUUCCUGGUGUAGCGGUGAAAUGCGUAGAUAUUGGGAAGAACACCUGAGGCGAAGGCGGGUUGCUGGGCCGACACUGACGCUGAUGCGCGAAAGCCAGGGGAGCGAACGGG
Molecule: ribosomal RNA, 253 nt
Filed under: uncultured bacterium
Lineage: Bacteria
Description: partial 16S ribosomal RNA
Rfam family: Bacterial small subunit ribosomal RNA
Source: RNAcentral